CUCCACGAAGUUGGAUUCGCUAGUAAUCGCGCAUCAGCCAUGGCGCGGUGAAUACGUUCCCGGGCCUUGUACACACCGCCCGUCAAGCCAUGGGAGCCGGGGGCGCCUGAAGUCCGGGACCGCGAGGACCGGCCUAGGGCGAAACUGGUAACUGGGGCUAAGUCGUAACAAGGUAGC
Molecule: ribosomal RNA, 177 nt
Filed under: uncultured bacterium
Lineage: Bacteria
Description: partial 16S ribosomal RNA
Rfam family: Bacterial small subunit ribosomal RNA
Source: RNAcentral